GGGAAACCUGGGGGUGCCCCGCAAGGGGAGCCUGGAGACAGGUGUUGCAUGGCUGUCGUCAGCUCGUGUCGUGAGAUGUUGGGUUAAGUCCCGCAACGAGCGCAACCCUCACGCGAUGUUGCCAGCGUAAAGUCGGGCACUCUUCGCGAACUGCCCGGGUAACCGGGAGGAAGGUGGGGAUGACGUCAAGUCGGCAUGGCCCUUACGUCCUGGGCUUCACACAUGCUACAAUGGGCGCGACAGAGGGCUGCGAACCCGCGAGGGUAAGCCAAUCCCAAAAAGGCGCUCUCAGUUCGGAUUGCAGGCUGCAACUCGCCUGCAUGAAGGUGGAAUCGCUAGUAACCGCCGGUCAGCUAAACGGCGGUGAAUACGUUCCCGGGCCUUGUACACACCGCCCGUCACGUCACCUGAGUCUG
This 416-nucleotide ribosomal RNA is filed under the name uncultured bacterium. Its description in RNAcentral is "bacterial SSU rRNA". It matches the Rfam family "Bacterial small subunit ribosomal RNA", at positions 1001 to 1414 of the family's 1533-position model. The record is from RNAcentral.